Molecule: ribosomal RNA, 445 nt
Filed under: uncultured bacterium
Lineage: Bacteria
Description: partial 16S ribosomal RNA
Rfam family: Bacterial small subunit ribosomal RNA
Source: RNAcentral
GUAGGGAAUAUUGGGCAAUGGAGGCAACUCUGACCCAGCCAUGCCGCGUGCAGGAUGACGGCCCUCUGGGUUGUAAACUGCUUUUAACCGGGAAGAAACCCCAGGACGUGUCCUGGGUUGACGGUACCGGAGGAAUAAGCACCGGCUAACUUCGUGCCAGCAGCCGCGGUAAUACGAAGGGUGCAAGCGUUAUCCGGAUUCAUUGGGUUUAAAGGGUGCGUAGGCGGAGCGUUAAGUCAGUGGUGAAAUCCUGCAGCUUAACUGUAGACUUGCCAUUGAUACUGGGGCUCUUGAGUGCGCUUGAAGUGGGCGGAAUGUGCCGUGUAGCGGUGAAAUGCUUAGAUAUGGCACAGAACACCAAUUGCGAAGGCAGCUCACUAAGGCGAUACUGACGCUGAGGCACGAAAGCGUGGGGAUCGAACAGGAUUAGAAACCCUGGUAGUCC